Bos taurus (domestic cattle) is the source of this 857-nucleotide long non-coding RNA. Lineage: Eukaryota; Metazoa; Chordata; Mammalia; Artiodactyla; Bovidae. The record is from Ensembl.
GGGAACACCCCUUCCGUUUCCGCCAUGAAUCGCCAGAGCCGUGUUUACACUUGAGGUUUUCCACACUGGCGCCCUCCUCCAGCCCCAACCUCACCCACUUUUGAGAACACGAAUCCAAGGGAGGCGCUGAUACAAGUGUCUUGACAGGACUGAUGUGGCCAGCUGUGAUGAGAAGUGACGUAUUUCUAAACUGGACUGCCAGGCUUUUAACAUAAAAACAUCCUUUUGGACCUUGAAAGGCUACUAUCUGAAAGAGGAAACAAAGCAGAGAGUACGAUCAAAUAGCUAAAGUGGGGCAUACCAGGACCACUGGGACAGCCUGACCAUUUUAUGCAAGGGGAAUCUUUCUGACCCAGGGAUCGAACCAAGUCUCCAGCACUGGCAAACGGAUUCUUUACCACUGAGCCACCAGAGAAGCUGCAUACUCCUUUGCUGGAUGCUAACAUGGCAUUCACUCUUUCAAGAGGAGGUGUUACUUUCUGGUAUAUUCCCAGCACAAAGGACGAAGCCACUUGGAACUUUACAAGCUUUGAUGCUGUAUGUAAGUGCGAAGAGGAGACCCUUCUCCUUCCCUACCUCGUGAUCAGUGAACUGACUGGAUUCUGAAAGUCUUCUAACUAUUAAUAAAGGAGUCACUCUAAGUUAACCUCUGGCUCAGAGGUAAAGAAUCUGCCUGCAAUGCAGGAGGUAUGGGUUCGAUCCCUGGGUCAGGAAGAUACCCUGGAGAAGGACCUACUCCAGUAUCCUUGCCUGGAGAAUUCCAUGGACAGAGGAACCUGGCGGGCUACAGUCCAUGGAGCUGGAGUCAGACAUGACUGAGCGACUUUCACUCCACUAUGGAAUUAAAGCCCUAUCCU